UGGAAGUGAACCAUCUCAGUACCCCCAGGAAGAGAAAACAAGAGUGAUUCCGUCAGUAGCGGCGAGCGAACGCGGAAGAGCCCAAACCGGUGGGGCGUGAUAGCCCGCAAGCGUUGCUUCACCGGGGUUGCGGGACGUUGUUGGGGUCGGUUGCGGCCGGCCCGGGGAGUGAGAAAUCACCAGCCUAGCAGAAGGUCUCUGGAAAGAGCCGCCACAGAGGGUGAAAGCCCCGUAGGCCAAAGGUUCGGUGACUCCCUGACGAUGUUCCCGAGUACCACGGGGCACGUGGAACCCCGUGGGAAACCGGGUCGACCAUGACCCAAGGCUAAAUACUCCUCUGCGACCGAUAGUGAACCAGUACCGUGAGGGAAAGGUGAAAAGCACCCCUGUUAGGGGAGUGAAAGAGUACCUGAAACCGUAUAUCUACAAGCAGUGGAAGCGCUAUGGCCCAUCUUCGGAUGGUGCAAGGCGCGACCGCGUGCCUUUUGCAUAAUGAGCCGGCUAGU
RNAcentral lists this ribosomal RNA (506 nucleotides) under uncultured Acidobacteriota bacterium. RNAcentral describes it as "bacterial LSU rRNA". It matches the Rfam family "Bacterial large subunit ribosomal RNA", at positions 188 to 628 of the family's 2925-position model. Lineage: Bacteria; Pseudomonadati; Acidobacteriota. The record is from RNAcentral.